UACGGAGGGAGCUAGCGUUGUUCGGAAUUACUGGGCGUAAAGCGCACGUAGGCGGCUUUGUAAGUUAGAGGUGAAAGCCUGGGGCUCAACUCCAGAACUGCCUUUAAAAACUGCAUCGCUUGAAUCCAGGAGAGGUGAGUGGAAUUCCGAGUGUAGAGGUGAAAUUCGUAGAUAUUCGGAAGAACACCAGUGGCGAAGGCGGCUCACUGGACUGGUAUUGACGCUGAGGUGCGAAAGCGUGGGGAGCAAACAGGG
Molecule: ribosomal RNA, 255 nt
Filed under: uncultured bacterium
Lineage: Bacteria
Description: partial 16S ribosomal RNA
Rfam family: Bacterial small subunit ribosomal RNA
Source: RNAcentral